GUCCCUGUAGCUCAAUAGGACAGAGCAACUGCCUUCUAAGCAGUAGGUUCCGAGUUCGAGUCUCGGCAGGGACGCCA
This 77-nucleotide transfer RNA is filed under the name Chloroflexota bacterium. RNAcentral's name for it is "Chloroflexi bacterium tRNA-Arg". It matches the Rfam family "tRNA". Rfam says of the family: Transfer RNA (tRNA) molecules are approximately 80 nucleotides in length. Their secondary structure includes four short double-helical elements and three loops (D, anti-codon, and T loops). The record is from RNAcentral. Lineage: Bacteria; Bacillati; Chloroflexota.